RNAcentral lists this long non-coding RNA (611 nucleotides) under Mus pahari (shrew mouse). RNAcentral describes it as "lncRNA (MGP_PahariEiJ_G0003325.1)". Lineage: Eukaryota; Metazoa; Chordata; Mammalia; Rodentia; Muridae. The record is from RNAcentral.
CAGCUCUGGAAUAAGGAACUCACGGAGGAGAGGACCCCCGUUCAGUUCCCAGUGUUGACUGAGGAGUUGGCAUAAUUGCCAGUGAUAAAGAUGCUGGAUGAUUAUAGACUUGUCUGUGUUUACUCUGGGCAUACGCUUCAAAAGUGAACCUCAUGGAUGUCCCUUCACAGCCUCUGAGACUGAAGCUCCUAUCACAGGUGACAUUUUGGUAUACUGGGUCCCUGCAGAAAAGAAUAAGCCACCAUGGCUUGUGCUUGUCCCCUGGUGCUGAGAUCUGUGACUGAAAGGAGAUGGAGGACAAACCUGGGGACUGGGGCAAGCUGGCACAAGCUUCCAGGAACUAUACCAUAGUCAUCUCCCACAACCCAGAGACCAAGAAGACCUGAGUGAAGCUGCCUUUGGGUCCAAGAAGGUGAAUUCCUUGGCCAACAGAGCUGUUGUUAGUGUCUUUGUUGCUAAGGGCAAAGUUGACUGGAGAUGGACAACUGGCUAACACAGAGCCACAAGGCAAGUUAGUGGUCACCUUGGGUCCUGGUACUCCACCCUGUGCCUCCCUCUAUACUAAGGUACCUUGAUUCUUUACCUUGAAGAUUUAAUGAUGUAAAGGGCAG